This 376-nucleotide ribosomal RNA is filed under the name uncultured bacterium. Its description in RNAcentral is "bacterial SSU rRNA". It matches the Rfam family "Bacterial small subunit ribosomal RNA", at positions 523 to 897 of the family's 1533-position model. The record is from RNAcentral.
AUACGUAGGUGGCGAGCGUUGUCCGGAAUUACUGGGUGUAAAGGGCGUGUAGACGGGUGUGCAAGUCAGAUGUGAAAUUCCAGGGCUCAACCCUGGCGCUGCAUCUGAAACUGUGCAUCUUGAGUGCUGGAGAGGAAAGCGGAAUUCCUAGUGUAGCGGUGAAAUGCGUAGAUAUUAGGAGGAACACCAGUGGCGAAGGCGGCUUUCUGGACAGUAACUGACGUUGAGGCGCGAAAGCGUGGGGAGCAAACAGGAUUAGAUACCCUGGUAGUCCACGCCGUAAACGAUGGAUACUAGGUGUAGGAGGUAUCGACCCCUUCUGUGCCGGAGUAAACACAAUAAGUAUCCCACCUGGGGAGUACGGCCGCAAGGUUGA